RNAcentral lists this transfer RNA (84 nucleotides) under Kingella potus. RNAcentral's name for it is "tRNA-Pro(ggg)". Lineage: Bacteria; Pseudomonadati; Pseudomonadota; Betaproteobacteria; Neisseriales; Neisseriaceae. The record is from RNAcentral.
CUCCCAGUAGCCCGCGUAGGGUUUUCCCUCGGGACGGGAGGAGAGGAGAUAUUCGCCGGCAUCGUUCGAGACGAUGCCGGCAAC